This 497-nucleotide ribosomal RNA is filed under the name uncultured bacterium. RNAcentral's name for it is "partial 16S ribosomal RNA". It matches the Rfam family "Bacterial small subunit ribosomal RNA", at positions 28 to 507 of the family's 1533-position model. The record is from RNAcentral.
GAUGAACGCUGGCGGCGUGCCUAAUACAUGCAAGUCGAGCGAACAGACGAGGAGCUUGCUCCUUCGACGUUAGCGGCGGACGGGUGAGUAACACGUAGGUAACCUACCUAUAAGACUGGGAUAACUUCGGGAAACCGGAGCUAAUACCGGAUAAUAUUUCGAACCGCAUGGUUCGAUAGUGAAAGAUGGCUUUGCUAUCACUUAUAGAUGGACCUGCGCCGUAUUAGCUAGUUGGUAAGGUAACGGCUUACCAAGGCAGCGAUACGUAGCCGACCUGAGAGGGUGAUCGGCCACACUGGAACUGAGACUCGGUCGAGACUCCUACGGGAGGCAGCAGUAGGGAAUCUUCCGCGAUGGGGGAAAGCCUGACGGAGCAACGCCGCGUGAGUGAUGAAGGUCUUCGGAUCGUAAAACUCUGUUAUUAGGGAAGAACAAACGUGUAAGUAACUGUGCACGUCUUGACGGUACCUAAUCAGAAAGCCACGGCUAACUACGUG